Molecule: ribosomal RNA, 253 nt
Filed under: uncultured bacterium
Lineage: Bacteria
Description: partial 16S ribosomal RNA
Rfam family: Bacterial small subunit ribosomal RNA
Source: RNAcentral
UACGUAGGGGGCUAGAGUUGUCCGGAUUUACUGGGUGUAAAGGGUGCUCAGGUGGGUUUGUAAGUCAGAGGUGAAAUCCCAAAGCUUAACUUUGGUGCUGCCUUUGAUACUGCAAGUCUGGAGUUUGAGAGAGGGUAAUGGAAUAUCUGGUGUAGCAGUGAAAUGCGUAGAUAUCAGAUAGAACACCAAUGGCGAAGGCAGUUACCUGGCUCAAUACUGACGCUAAAGCACGAAAGUGUGGGGAGCAAACAGG